Molecule: ribosomal RNA, 380 nt
Filed under: uncultured eukaryote
Lineage: Eukaryota
Description: SSU rRNA
Rfam family: Eukaryotic small subunit ribosomal RNA
Source: RNAcentral
AGCUCCAAGAGCGUAUAUUAAAGUUGUUGCGGUUAAAAGCUCGUAGUUGGGUUUCUGUCGAGCCCGACCGGUCCGCCCACUGGGUGAGAAUCUGGCUCGUGCUGGACAUCUUCUUGGCAUAUCAGUCUGCACUUCAUUGUGUGUUCUGAGAUCCUUGACUUUUACUUUGAGGAAAUUAGAGUGUUCCAAGCAGGCGUACGCCUUGCAUAUAUUAGCAUGGAAUAAUACGAUAGGACCACGGUUCUAUUUUGUUGGUUUCUAGAUUCGUGGUAAUGAUUAAUAGGAAUGGUCGGGGGCAUUCAUAUUUAACUGUCAGAGGUGAAAUUCUUGGAUUUGUUAAAGAUGGACUACUGCGAAAGCAUUUGCCAAGGAUGUUUUCA